GGUUGCUGUUCUGGGUCAGCUUUUAGUCAACCCAACCACCGGAGAACCAAAACACCGACCAUACUUUCGCAUACUUUCUUAAUUUUACCAAGCUGGUCUUACUCCUCUGCUUCAGUUGCAAGAUCUGCUGUGAAACUCCCUUUUUACGGCUUUAGAAGAUCCGAACUAUGAUGGAAUCAGGGUUAAUUUAUGGUUAAAGAUGAAAGAUAUAACUUCCGGGUUGGAAGGAAUCUGUGAGGAAAGAAUUGAGCUUGAAUUGCAAGUAGUUAAUGGAGAGGUAGUUCCAUUUGUAUGGAAACGACCACGCAUUAUAUCUUUGCCAACUGAACCUACUGCUUUUGGCAGAGAUGAAGAUAAAGCUAAAAUGAUUCAAAGGGUGAUAAAGGAUGGAGAAACUGAUUUCAUCUUUUCUGUAAUAACCCAUUUCUUGGUAUGGGAGGAGUUGGCAAGAUUACGAUUUUUGGGUAUGAAUGUAAAGCUCUCGGAGAUUGCAAACCAAAAGUAUGGAUAUGUGUCUCUGAAGAGAUAGAUUUGAGUUGAUGAGAAAUAUGGGUAUGUGUCUCUGACAUGGGUAUGUGUCUCUGAACACAUAGAUUUGGGUUUCUGAGAAGUAUAGCUAUAUGUCAGUGAAGUGGGUAUGUGUCUCCGAAAACACAAUUUAUGUUUCUAAGACAUAGAUUUGGGUUUUGGAGAGUAUGGGUAUGUGUAUCAGACAUGGGUAUGUGUGUCAGAAGACAUGAGUUUAUGUUUCUCAAGACAUAGAUUUGGGUUUCUGAGAAAUAUGGUUGUGUGUCUUUGAAGUGGGUAUGUGUCUCGGACGAUAUGAGUUUGUGUUUCUAAGAGAUAGAUAUGAGUUUGUGUUUCUAAGAGAUACUGACAAGUAUGAGUGUGUGUCUCUAAAGUGGGUACGUGUCUCAGACGAUAUGAGUUUAUGUUUUUCUAAAGAGACAGAUUUGGGUUUCUGAGAAGUAUGGGUGUGUGUCUCUAAAGUGGGUAUGUGUCUAUGAAGAUAUGAGUUUGUGUUUUAAUAAGUAUGGGUGUGUGUCUCUGAAGUAGGUAUGUGUCUCAGAAAGAUGAGUUUGUGUUUCUAAAAGAGAGAUUUGGGUUUCUUUGAAGUGGGGAUGUGUCUCAAAACAUUGAGUUUGUAUUUUUAAGACGUAGAUUUGGGUUUCUAGAAUAACGGGUGUAUGUCUCUUGAAAACAUAAAUUUGGGUUUCUGAAAUCUGAAGAUAAAAUAAUAUCAGAGUUCUUUCA
Long non-coding RNA from Pistacia vera, 1254 nucleotides. RefSeq lists it as uncharacterized. NCBI's taxonomy places the organism in Eukaryota, Viridiplantae, Streptophyta, Magnoliopsida, Sapindales, Anacardiaceae. The record is from RefSeq and is a predicted model, not a curated record. The transcript has 2 exons.